This 60-nucleotide transfer RNA is filed under the name Linepithema humile (Argentine ant). RNAcentral's name for it is "tRNA-Leu". The record is from RNAcentral. Lineage: Eukaryota; Metazoa; Arthropoda; Insecta; Hymenoptera; Formicidae.
AAUAAUUAAAUUAAACAUUUAUCUUUUAAAUAAAUUUUAUAAAAUUAUUUAUAAUUAUUA